Molecule: transfer RNA, 70 nt
Filed under: Aedes aegypti (yellow fever mosquito)
Lineage: Eukaryota; Metazoa; Arthropoda; Insecta; Diptera; Culicidae
Description: partial tRNA-OTHER
Source: RNAcentral
CCCAAUUUGGGGGGAUCGAACACACGACUCUGAGAUUAAGAGUCUCAUGCUCUACCGACUGAGUCAUCGU